This 267-nucleotide ribosomal RNA is filed under the name uncultured bacterium. RNAcentral describes it as "partial 16S ribosomal RNA". It matches the Rfam family "Bacterial small subunit ribosomal RNA", at positions 793 to 1055 of the family's 1533-position model. The record is from RNAcentral.
GUCCACGCCGUAAACGAUGAAUGUUAGCCGUCGGGCAGUUGACUGUUCGGUGGCGCAGCUAACGCAUUAAACAUUCCGCCUGGGGAGUACGGUCGCAAGAUUAAAACUCAAAGGAAUUGACGGGGCCGCACAAGCGGUGGAGCAUGUGGUUUAAUUCGAAGCAACGCGUAGAACCUUACCCAGCCCUUCGACAUCCCGACUCGCGGAGAGUGGAGACAUUCUCCUUCAGUUAGGCUGGAUCGGUGACAGGUGCUGCAUGGCUGUCGU